UACGGGGGGUGCUAGCGUUGUUCGGAAUCACUGGGCGUAAAGGGCGUGUAGGCGGUCUGUUAAGUCUGAUGUGAAAUCCCCUCGCUCAACGAGGGAACUGCGUCGGAUACUGGGAGGCUUGAAUCCGGGAGAGGGAUGUGGAAUUCCAGGUGUAGCGGUGAAAUGCGUAGAUAUCAGGAGGAACACCUGUGGUGUAGGCAGCUUACUGGACCAUUUCUGACGCUGAGACACGAAAGCGUGGGUAGCAAACAGG
RNAcentral lists this ribosomal RNA (253 nucleotides) under uncultured bacterium. RNAcentral describes it as "partial 16S ribosomal RNA". It matches the Rfam family "Bacterial small subunit ribosomal RNA", at positions 524 to 776 of the family's 1533-position model. The record is from RNAcentral.